Molecule: ribosomal RNA, 704 nt
Filed under: Bacillus subtilis
Lineage: Bacteria; Bacillati; Bacillota; Bacilli; Caryophanales; Bacillaceae
Description: bacterial SSU rRNA
Rfam family: Bacterial small subunit ribosomal RNA
Source: RNAcentral
UCUGGACGGAGCAACGCCGCGUGAGGUGAUGAAGGUUUUCGGAUCGUAAAGCUCUGUUGUUAGGGAAGAACAAGUACCGUUCGAAUAGGGCGGUACCUUGACGGUACCUAACCAGAAAGCCACGGCUAACUACGUGCCAGCAGCCGCGGUAAUACGUAGGUGGCAAGCGUUGUCCGGAAUUAUUGGGCGUAAAGGGCUCGCAGGCGGUUUCUUAAGUCUGAUGUGAAAGCCCCCGGCUCAACCGGGGAGGGUCAUUGGAAACUGGGGAACUUGAGUGCAGAAGAGGAGAGUGGAAUUCCACGUGUAGCGGUGAAAUGCGUAGAGAUGUGGAGGAACACCAGUGGCGAAGGCGACUCUCUGGUCUGUAACUGACGCUGAGGAGCGAAAGCGUGGGGAGCGAACAGGAUUAGAUACCCUGGUAGUCCACGCCGUAAACGAUGAGUGCUAAGUGUUAGGGGGUUUCCGCCCCUUAGUGCUGCAGCUAACGCAUUAAGCACUCCGCCUGGGGAGUACGGUCGCAAGACUGAAACUCAAAGGAAUUGACGGGGGCCCGCACAAGCGGUGGAGCAUGUGGUUUAAUUCGAAGCAACGCGAAGAACCUUACCAGGUCUUGACAUCCUCUGACAAUCCUAGAGAUAGGACGUCCCCUUCGGGGGCAGAGUGACAGGUGGUGCAUGGUUGUCGUCAGCUCGUGUCGUGAGAUG